RNAcentral lists this unclassified non-coding RNA (347 nucleotides) under uncultured fungus. Its description in RNAcentral is "partial contains 5.8S ribosomal RNA, internal transcribed spacer 2, and large subunit ribosomal RNA". Lineage: Eukaryota; Fungi. The record is from RNAcentral.
AACGCAAAUUGCGCCCAAGGCUUCGGCCGAGGGCAUGUCUGCCUCAGCGUCGGCUUACACCCUCGCCUCCUUUCCUUGGUUGUAAAACACCGAGUGACAGAAGGCGGACCUGGCCUUCCCGGCUCUGCUAGAUCCGUCUGGCUCCGGGUUGGCUGAAGCUCAGAGGCUUGAGUAUAGACCCCGUUUGUAGGGAAAUGACUUGGUAGGUAGGCAACCCCUACAAAACCCUGUCGUUACCCGAGGGGACUUUACUGGAGGCCUUGCACGGUUCGGAUGUUCGCCUUUGGGCGACUCUGAAUGUUCAAACCUUCGACCUGAGCUCAGGCAAGACUACCCGCUGAACUUAA